UGUUUCUUGAUUUUUUUUUAGGCUCUUGCAUGUCGGCGGAUCUAAGCCCAGAUUAGCCUCUCCUCACUCUCCUCGCACACAUCUCUUCCUCGCUCAAAUCACACCAGAUUUGGUGUUCGUAGUACAACUUCGGGUUGGGCUCGGAGAACUGUGUAAUUUCCCGUUCUAUGCUCAGCUUCGGAGCCCGAUCAGAAUGCCGAAUCCGAACCGAAAACGUCGUCAUCUCCGCCAUCGUCUUCGUUUGAUUGGGUUUCUUGAAACGACCUUCUUGACCUUUCAGGAUAAAGUGUUCCACUUCCAUUGUUUUGAAUGCUUGCACAUGGAUUAGUUGCCACACAGUGUACAAUAUAUUGUUGACUGCAAAGAGUUUACCUUAUGGAUUUGGGAAUUCUGAUGCUAGCGUGGUUUUACUUGGGACUACAACCUCCAUGGCAGCUGCUAGUGCUUGUUUCUUAUACAUUCUUAGCACACAGUUUUCAGGAACUUCGUGCUUCGUAUUGUUUGUGAUCGGCUUUCCUUUCCUUCAGCUUAUUUCAUCACUUUAAAGGAGUCAAUCAUUAAGGACAUAACCGAAAACCCUUAAUAUGAUGCUGGCAAGCUGCUAUUAAGUCCUCAAUGUACCAAUUACACUGUUGGUGAGUUUAUGCAGCUUCUAUGAGUCAAAUCAAUACCUAAAAAGGAGUUGUUGGGUGUACCAAUUGUUUCUCCAGUAUUGAUCUGUACAUGUACCCUAGUUAUUUCUCAAUUGCUAUCCAAGAUAUAUGGAGCAUUUUCAAAUGUCGAUACUGGCAUCCAGUGAGACCUUUAUGUUGCAAAUGGCUCUGAACAGCUAGCAGGCAUCAUCAACCUCAAUAUGCUACUCUGGUGGGAAGGUGAAUGAGGUACCUGUAAUAAGAAUUUACGGCUCUACUCCGGCCGGUCAGAAAGCUUGUCUGCACAUUCACAGA
Molecule: long non-coding RNA, 947 nt
Organism: Rosa rugosa (rugosa rose)
Lineage: Eukaryota; Viridiplantae; Streptophyta; Magnoliopsida; Rosales; Rosaceae
Exons: 6
Source: RefSeq, a predicted model, not a curated record